This 639-nucleotide ribosomal RNA is filed under the name Cyphophthalmus zetae. Its description in RNAcentral is "eukaryotic LSU rRNA". The stretch from base 201 to 639 matches the Rfam family "Eukaryotic large subunit ribosomal RNA", at positions 1 to 946 of the family's 3401-position model. The record is from RNAcentral. Lineage: Eukaryota; Metazoa; Arthropoda; Arachnida; Opiliones; Sironidae.
CCGGUUGGGCUACUGACCGAGAGUCGGCCAUGAGUGCGGGCACCGGAAGGUGGCCGGUUUGCAGGCUUUGUUUCCUGCGGCCGGUGUUACAGCCUGCCCGCAACGGGCGCGUUUGCCCAACCGAGGACACUAGGCCCUGUGUGGGCCAGUCCGCAUCCUCCCUUUGCAAGGAGCGGGUCGCCCGGCAGGUGGUUUGACGCCGGACCGUUUUCACCCGAGUGUGUGCGGUCCGCGGCAUCCUCCGUUGGCGUUCGGAGCGACUCCCGCGCGGAUGCAGGACGUCGGCAGCGAGUAGGUCGGUCACCCACCCGACCCGUCUUGAAACACGGACCAAGGAGUCUAACAUGUGCGCGAGUCAUUGGGUCUUGUUUAGGCCCAAAGGCGAAAUGAAAGUGAAGGCCGAUUCGGUCGGCUGCGUUGGGAUCCCGUCCACUCGUGGGCGGGCGCACCAACGGCCCGUCCCGAUCGCCGCGUCGAUGGGGCGGAGUGAGAGCGUACACGUUGGGACCCGAAAGAUGGUGAACUAUGCCUGGGCAGGACGAAGCCAGAGGAAACUCUGGUGGAGGUCCGCAGCGAUUCUGACGUGCAAAUCGAUCGUCAGACCUGGGUAUAGGGGCGAAAGACUAAUCGAACCAUCUA